Molecule: long non-coding RNA, 2635 nt
Organism: Canis lupus familiaris (dog)
Lineage: Eukaryota; Metazoa; Chordata; Mammalia; Carnivora; Canidae
Exons: 4
Source: RefSeq, a predicted model, not a curated record
UUUAACAUAAAGCGAAAGGAACUAGAUGGGGUUAAUUUCUGGACAAGGUACUCAGGGACAUCUUUGUGAUAGCAGUGGCAUUGAAGCUAAGUUUUAAAAAUAAUACUAGAGAAAUUUCCAAAUCUUAGAAUAAAGAAUACCACCUUAAACAUGACAGAAAACCGAGAAGCAUAGAGGAAAAAAUGUUAACUAAUUAAAGCUAUAAAACUUUUGAAUGGCCAAAAAAUGUUUUAAGCAAAGCCAAAGCAAACAGCAAACUGGAAAACUUAUUUGCAGUUUUCUUACUAUAAAAAGAACACUUAAAAAUCAAUACGUAAAAGACAGCCAUCCAAUAGAAAAAUGGGCAAAGAAAAUAAACAGAUGAAAGGGAAAGAAAUGUAAAUGGCCAAUAAAUAUGAGAAAAUAUUCUCUUACUCAUAAUUUUAAAAAUACCAAUCAAGCAAGAAGGAGACACCAUCUGUUACUUAUGGAAACAUGUGAAAAUGUGAUAAUAUCUAAUAGUGAUAGUUAAGGUGUGGGAAAAGAGGCACUUUUCUGGAUUGUUGAUGAGAAUGCAAAUUUGUACAGCCUUUUAAAAGGGCAAUUUGGAGCCAUUUCUCAAAUUUGUAUAUAUCCAUGACUUAUAGACAAGCUGUCAUAGGGAGGGGAGCCUGGGAUACAGACUCUGAGGUGGAGAUAAGCCUGUAGGGAUGCUCUCAGGUUAAGAACUAUGGGAGGCAAGGAAAGUAGACAGGAUUGGACUGAGGGAGAAGUUGGGAGAGGUAGUUUCAUUGAAGACCUCAGGUCUUCAGGAGGAGCUCUGAAGCUGGGAAGAUCCUUCAGGGUGGUCCCAAUUUACAGUGAGAGGGCUGGGUCUUUACACCCCCGGCAGGAGCCAGUCAUUAGAGUAGAGCUGCCCAGAGAAGGAAGUGAGACAAUUAGUGUGGGGAUUUCCUCCUUCUGAGGCAGCUCGAGAAGCAGGCUGAUAGCUGAGGAUCAGUACUCCGGGCAUCUGAAGAAGAGGCCUUCAGUCCUGAAAGGGAGCCUGAGUGGCACAUCUCAGCCCUACAGCAGAGAGCCUCACAAGUGGGAAGAAGGAAUGAACUGAAGAUGUAAGACAAAGAAGUGGUCAUUGAGGGGACAAGACCCCAGGGCAGGAUGGAGGAAACAGGAUCACUAAGUAGAUUCAUUAGGGUUAGAAAAGAGGACACCUCUUCUCUGUACAGAAGAGAAAGGGUCCAAAAAAAAAAAAAAAAAAAAGAGCAACUUGGAUAUGAAGAGAGACUGGCAUACGAUAGAUUCCCUUUUCUUAGGAAAGUAAGGGGUAAGGUAAUUUACUGAGAAUGAAGGGAGAUGAGGUAGGGUUGAGGAAUCAGAGUGACAAGGGUGUUGAUAACUGCUAUGGGAGUUCAUUAUUGAAGAGUAGGGACAGCCCUUGGAGGGGCUCGAGGGCCAGGAGUGGCACACACACCUGCAUGCACCACACUGUGCUUCCUGUCCUACAAGCAUGGUGGGACCAAUGGGGCCACAGGCUUCUCCACAGAGACAUCCCCUCCCAGGGGCAGAGUUAACAGUUCAAUCAGAUGUUUCCUAGAGUGAACAAUGGAAGGCAGGACGCCCCAUCCCCCAAUCUGGAAUGGACUUCCCUUUAGCCAGCUGCAGAGCUGUGGUCUUAGGUUUACUAGAGGGAGGUGAAUAAGCCAUCUCAUUGCAGAGUCUCCGAUUUUGGUAUCUUUUUAUCUCUUCUCUUGGAUUGGCCAUUUCCUCCAGGGAAGCUGUGUCCAAUGUCCUGCCUAGAGUCUAUCCAUUUGGCUGUGUUCUGGGAAGAAGGGGGCUUGACUUGGGGGAUUUCCGCUGUUAAAAGGGCCAUGUCUCUGCUUUCCCCACCGGAUGCUUACCAUUCAGGUUAUGGAACCACAUUUUGGUGACUUCAAUGCCUUUGAGAGAAUUGCCUUAGUACAUCAAGAAAGAAAGAAUCAUAAAAGUGUUCACUCAGGGGGCCAGCAUUCAUGGCUCUGGCUUCAGCAUAUUUUACCUAUUAGACCAGUUUCAAAUUCAAAUUUCACAUGAGGACCUCUGAUGGAUGAAACCUACAUCACGUUUGAGACUCUAGCUGCAAGGGAGUCAGAAAAACACAGUUCCUACCUCUUCUUGGCAAUAAGGAAAAGGCACGAUGAGGAGUUAGGAACCGCGACUAAGCAAGGCAAUGUCCCGUGUCUACCAUUACUAUUAUUCAGUGAACAAGAACUUGAUGAAUUUCUACAUUAUGGGAUACAGAAGAUUAGACGUAUGUUUUUACUGGUUUGUAUAAUAGCAAUACUUCUGUGGGCUCUUUCAGAGCUAGAGUUCUUCUCAGCAUGAGGACAGAAUUCCAAGGAACCUACCGACAUUGAAGAGUCAGGUGGAAAGGGAGAAGCAGGCAAAGGACAGGAAGGAGGAAUGACCAGAGAAUGGGGAGAUACCCACAAAAUGCGGGAUUAAGGAAACCUAAGGGUACAGAAUAUUUUAAGAAGGGGAGAGAAGUCAACUUCCAGAUGCUGCUGAGACCUAAGUAAAAUAUGAGCCGAAAAGCGCUUUGGGGACCUUAGCAGGAUUAGCUUCAGUGACGUGGCAGGGGUGGAAGCCAGAUUAAAAUGCUUUUGGAGUGAGGAGGCAG